Molecule: unclassified non-coding RNA, 310 nt
Filed under: uncultured fungus
Lineage: Eukaryota; Fungi
Description: partial contains 5.8S ribosomal RNA, internal transcribed spacer 2, and large subunit ribosomal RNA
Rfam family: 5.8S ribosomal RNA (bases 1-52)
Source: RNAcentral
AACGCAUCUUGCACCCCUUGGUAUUCCGAGGGGUAUGUCUGUUUGAGUGUCAUUAAACUCUCAACUUCAAGAAGUUUUUCUUCUUGAGGAUUGGAUGUGGGGUUUUGCUGGAUUCUUUUCUAGCUCUCCUGAAAAGUAUUAGUGGAAAAAAACAUCAGUAGAUUUGUUCCCAUGGUGUGAUAGUUAUCUACGCCUGCGGUGAACAUCUUGUAUGGAAUUUUUCUGCUUUCGAAUAGUCCAUUAGCUUGGACAGUGUUGUCUUAUUGACCAACUUGACCUCAGAUCAGGUAGGACUACCCGCUGAACUUAA